Long non-coding RNA from Drosophila ficusphila, 2023 nucleotides. RefSeq lists it as uncharacterized. NCBI's taxonomy places the organism in Eukaryota, Metazoa, Arthropoda, Insecta, Diptera, Drosophilidae. The transcript has 2 exons. The record is from RefSeq and is a predicted model, not a curated record.
CAAUCUGUUUGUGGGUGUCUAGAAACUUCUAUCGGUCACUCGAAACUUUCCACGUGACUACUUAUUUCGGGAUUUCAUUCUUCUACGCGUCGUUGCUCCGUGAAGAAAAAGUGCUCGAAAAAGUUUUUUUUACCUGGCCGAAAAAGGUGAAUAUCACAAGAAAACAACAUGUCAUCCGCAAGAAGUUAUGGACAUAGGUCAAAACAUGGCCCAACCCUGACAACAUUCCCCUAUAUGACCUAAUAAAUUGAACUGGAUAGGCAAGAAAAGAGAUAAAUUCUAAUUCCUUUUUUUUUCUUCUCAAUUUAAUUGUUUUUGUUGCCGAACGCCAAAGUAAGCAUGAAGACAAUGAUGAGUGGUCAAAACAUUUAAGCAAUUUGAUUGCCGAACAAAAUAUGGACUGUGUUGAUUGAGUUUAUUUUUACGUAUAUAGUAAGUGCGCUGAUCUAUUGCCGCAUAGGAAAACUAGAUUUUUGAAUGAAAUUGGAUUUAGGAUAAUCUUGCUACAAAAAUAAACUCAAUUAAAAGUAGCGAUGUACAUUCAAUGGUAAAAUACAUAGGAAGACAACAGGGUUUGGCCGAUGAUUUGGUACUUUCUAUAUUCUUUGUUAAGACCACCUAAGCUUUAUUGAUUUUCCCUUUAUUUAUUUUUUUAUAUUCCUAUGGCAGCUAUAAAUUAUGGUCGUCUGGGCCAAAUACGUUUGUUUUUGGAAACUAAUCAAUUGCACAUCGGCUUGCCGUUAUCGACUCCCCUGGUGAUGCGGAUCGAGAAUGUAUAUACUUUAUAGGGUCAUAAAUGUCGCUUUCAUUGCACUGCAAACACCUGCUUGAAAACAUAGAAAUAUCUGCAAGGUUAAAAUGUAUUAAAGCCACCGGAUUCAUUUAAAAAUCUCAUAUUUCAUUGUAUUGCGGUUACGUUCAUUCAUUUCUCUACCUUUGGAAUCUUUCCAUCUUUCCGGAAACUCUAUACAUUUUCUCUAGAAUGUAAGCGGUUAACACUUAAGCCAAGAGUGUCAUAACUCGCAUCUUUGUGGCUGACAGACCCUUGGAUUUGGCUUAAACAACUUUGAGCCAGAAGGGCGACAAACAACAAAAUUACCUUCAGGUAAUCAGCGGCAGUUUAUGUUUGUUCGGUCCACUAAACUUUUACGACCGUUCCACUUAUCUGGCUGAAUUUGUCUACCGGCCGCACAGAAAAUGACUUUCGCUCCGUCUUAAUGACAGCUGGCCUGAUAGCAGGAUCUGGCCUAAAGCCGGGAUAAUUUCAGCAUGUCCUUUAUGUCUCAUUAAAACUUUACGCACAUCAGCACCGGAGGUAGCAAAAACUUAAUAGUUUAAUUUCCCGACAAGAAACCGAAGACCCAAAAAACGCAAAUGAAAAAAAGGCUGGGAUCCCACACCCAAAAGGUAGAAACAAAAGGUAACCAAAACAAAGAGAAAUGGCAAACAUUUGGUUUUAGGUUUCUCGGCAAUAAAUCUUCUUUUUCUGCUGACAUGUGAGUAAUCAUGUGCGAGUUGGGGUUAGAUCCCAGAUAGAAAGGGAAAAUAUCGAGACUCGGAAAACAUGGGGGAGAUUAACCUUAAAGUUCAUUUCUCCAUUGACUCCAUAUUAAAUUUCUUCAAUGUGCAUUUUCUCAUUUUAAUUGCUACAAAAUUUGUUUUCUACGUGUUUUUUCUAUAGGAAAUACGAAGCCCGCCAAAACUUCAGGAAAACGUAUUUUUUUAAUUACGUAAUAAUUGCUUCGUUUUUUUCAAUUAUUAUGUUUCACUCGAAUCGAGCUUUUUAAUGGUUUCCGUUGACUCGUUUUUUUUUUUUACUCUUUUUUAAGUGAAUUAAAAUACAUAAAAAUAGGUUGUAAAUAUGUUUCAGUUUUUCCGUUUUUUUUUACGAUUGGUUGGCGCUUGGAGCUGUUUUAAUGAAUUUGUUUUUAGUUUAUUACUUACGUGUCUUUGUGCUUUAAAUAAUUUUAUAAUUCAAAUUGUUUAAUAUUUACGUUGAUACCGAACGAAAUUAUUUUCUCGA